GAGUGACUGCCCGGGAGGGCUGGAGGAAGCUUGUAUGAGACAGAUGGCCUCCUUGGCGAGUUGUAACCGGCAGACCUUCAAACCGCACAAAGGCUAAGCAAAGCCACAACUGGAUGCAGCAAGACUAAAAGCUUUAUAAUAUACUCUGGCCUGAGCCCGAACCAGGCCAAUCAACGUGCUGGCCCGAACCAGGCCAAUCAACGUGCUGGCCCGAGCCCGGCCCGGGCCCACAGUCAAAAGUCCGAGCCCAUCCCAGGCCUGGGCUUUCGGCUCAGCAAAGUCUGCGGAUCUGGUUAUGCUUCCUGUACGAGACAGAUCACGAAGUGGUAGCUGACUGACCAGUUGGGGCGAAAAUUUGUGUGGGAAGGACGUAAGAGAAAGUUGACAUUCAGGAACCUUCACCUUGCUGAGUGCAUCAUAAAUGCAGUGCAGAGCUGCCAUAAAUGUGAAGACUUCAAGGUAGAAACCAUGGUCACAGAUUAACUUCGCCACGCACCUGCCUGACAUCAGUCAUCUCAAAUGGAACAUUCUGCACCACAGGAGAGAGAGAUGUGAACUGCCUUAAGUGGGCCUUGAAUGUGCUGAGCUUUUUAUUAUGUUUAUCAGACAUUUUUUUAAGCAAAGUAUCCUGCAUUGUUCAGUAAGUAUACUUCAUUUUGAAAACCUCAUGCUGUCUAUGCAGCAUUGUUCAAAAAUUAUACUUUAUUUUAAAAGCAUCAAGCACUGCUCGUCUGUCUAACAGUAACAAUAAAGAGUUAAUGG
This 762-nucleotide long non-coding RNA is filed under the name Ixodes scapularis (black-legged tick). RNAcentral's name for it is "uncharacterized LOC120843083, transcript variant X1". Lineage: Eukaryota; Metazoa; Arthropoda; Arachnida; Ixodida; Ixodidae. The record is from RNAcentral.